ACGGAAGGCAGCAGUGAGGAAUAUUGGUCAAUGGGCGAGAGCCUGAACCAGCCAAGUCGCGUGAAGGAUGAAGGUUCUAUGGAUUGUAAACUUCUUUUGUUCGAGGGUAAAGUGAGCCACGUGUGGUUUAUUGCAAGUAUCGAACGAAUAAGCAUCGGCUAACUCCGUGCCAGCAGCCGCGGUAAUACGGAGGAUGCGAGCGUUAUCCGGAUUUAUUGGGUUUAAAGGGUGCGUAGGCGGGAUGUUAAGUCAGCGGUUAAAUAGUGUAGCUCAACUAUACUUUGCCGUUGAAACUGGCGUUCUUGAGUGUAAACGAGGUAGGCGGAAUGUGACGUGUAGCGGUGAAAUGCUUAGAUAUGUCACAGAACCCCGAUUGCGAAGGCAGCUUACCAGGAUACAACUGACGCUGAGGCACGAAAGCGUGGGUAUCAAACAGGAUUAGAUACCCUGGUA
This 453-nucleotide ribosomal RNA is filed under the name uncultured Porphyromonadaceae bacterium. RNAcentral describes it as "partial 16S ribosomal RNA". It matches the Rfam family "Bacterial small subunit ribosomal RNA", at positions 341 to 792 of the family's 1533-position model. The record is from RNAcentral. Lineage: Bacteria; Pseudomonadati; Bacteroidota; Bacteroidia; Bacteroidales; Porphyromonadaceae.